CAGGAUGCUGAGGAAGUCCCCAAGGGCCCCUCCAAGCCCAUCUGAGCCUGGGAGGAGACGAAACUUCCCCGAGGGAAGUAAGCAGAAGAGCCCGCAGCACCAGGAGCUGUGUGUGCCUCAGCCCUUCCGUGCUGAUUCACCAUCACCUGCUAAUGCCUCCUGCUUUAUGGGGCCAGACUUGGAGGAGAAAGAGGCCCUGGACUACAUCGACGGCUUUCUCAAGGGCAAUGAACAGGACGAGGCCAAGAAACUUAAGGUCUUUGAUUGCUUAUCAGCACCUUCAGCAGAGCCAUCCUCAGUAGGAGCCCAGAGAGAAACCUGGCUGCUUUUCUCAGCAAAGCCCUCCUUGUGGAGAAGAUAAAGCAAAGUGAAGCCACCGCUGUGGGGAAUGGAACAAUCCAACCUGCUCGCCACCUGCUUCUCCAGCAUCUUCUCCCUGCCUCCAGCACAGACCAUCUAGGGCGUGGAGGCUGCUCUGAACACCAAGUACGAUCAGAACACGAGAGAUCCUCAGGCCAGAGGGUAAACAAGCUCAAAAGAAAAAAGGGAAGAGACAGCUGAAAAGGAAAAUUCACCAGCCUCAACGGCUGAUGGAUGGAUGAAGCCCAGUAAAUAUAUUUUGCUUUUUGGUUUGGUUAUUUGAUGAGGUUGUGUAUUUUAAGUAAAUACAUAGG
Long non-coding RNA from Chelonia mydas (Green sea turtle), 674 nucleotides. RefSeq lists it as uncharacterized. The record is from RefSeq and is a predicted model, not a curated record. The transcript has 5 exons. Lineage: Eukaryota; Metazoa; Chordata; Testudines; Cheloniidae.